Molecule: long non-coding RNA, 1068 nt
Filed under: Calidris pugnax (ruff)
Lineage: Eukaryota; Metazoa; Chordata; Aves; Charadriiformes; Scolopacidae
Description: lncRNA (ENSCPUG00000009859.1)
Source: RNAcentral
AGGAAUGGCUUUUCAGACAGGGACCAUCACGACACCAAGGGAGGUAAUGGCCAGCAGCGAGUAGGGAACAGUGAUUUGUUGGCUAGUUGGUGCCUGUCCUGCCUGCAGCACCGGGCUGGGAGCCCAGCUCGCCCUGGCCCAGCAGGGGGCAAUCCCAGCAAAGAGCUCAGGAAAUCAGUGCUGGUGCCGGGGUGCAAUUCCUCUGCAAAAAGGAAAGGCUGAAAAAGUAAUAGAGCCACAGCCAGGCAGCUGCUUGCAGCUCCCCGUGACCUUUGCUGCCUGCCCCAGCCCUGUGGGUGAGUGUGGGUUGAGAGCUGGGAGCAAGGAACGUGAGGGAAUGGCCCUCUUUCUAUGCAUUUUGGGUCAGCUUGUGACCUCAGGAGCUCUGCUCCAUUUCCAGAGGUUCCUUCCAAAGGUUUGUAAGGGUUAGGAAAGCAGGAUCAAGCGCCGCUGGAAAGAAGAGUCCUGAAAAGCAACCAGAUUCUGCAGACAUGGGGAUAUGGAAGGGACUCAUCCUGGGAGGAACAACCCAUCACCUCUGGCACCGUGCUCCAGCCUCCAGCAGGACUCUGCUCCGGGAUUGCUGGGGAUGCCGGCACAGAGGAGAGAUUUGCAUUCCCCCUGCUUGCCCUUGCCACGACUCAAUAACAAAAACCCAGGGUAGGGAAGGUGCCUGCCUCCAACGCUCUGCCUCCCACCACCUGAUCUCCCAGCCAUUCAGUCCCUCACUCCGCUUUCCAGGCAGCAGCAGGAGAGAGCCAGCCAGCUCCAGCCCAGGGGGAACAGCCUGGCCGAGACAAAGUCCAUCCAUUACAGAAGUGCAACCCCAGGCUGUGGGCAGCUGGAACUGCCUGUGUCCUGCAUGUCCUCCAAGGGGCCAGGGCUCAGGAAGACUGUCCCAGGGCACAGGGAGCCUGUCCCAGGGAAGGCUUUACCUUUCCUCGGCUACACCUACAGUACCACUGGAUGUCACUGUUGUUUCAUGAAAGACAAACCCUUACUGACAGCUUUUUUGACAGAUAAUGUUUAGUAAAUAAACAUGUAGGUAUUUAUAUUCCCGUUCCUGCA